AUUGAACGCUGGCGGAAUGCUUUACACAUGCAAGUCGAACGGCAGCACGGACUUCGGUCUGGUGGCGAGUGGCGAACGGGUGAGUAAUAUAUCGGAACGUGCCCAGUCGUGGGGGAUAACGUAGUGAAAAUUACGCUAAUACCGCAUACGAUCUACGGAUGAAAGCGGGGGAUCGCAAGACCUCGCGCGAUUGGAGCGGCCGAUAUCAGAUUAGGUAGUUGGUGAGGUAAAGGCUCACCAAGCCAACGAUCUGUAGCUGGUCUGAGAGGACGACCAGCCACACUGGGACUGAGACACGGCCCAGACUCCUACGGGAGGCAGCAGUGGGGAAUUUUGGACAAUGGACGCAAGUCUGAUCCAGCCAUUCCGCGUGCAGGACGAAGGCCUUCGGGUUGUAAACUGCUUUUGUACAGAACGAAAAGGCCUCUAUUAAUACUGGGGGCUCAUGACGGUACUGUAAGAAUAAGCACCGG
This 473-nucleotide ribosomal RNA is filed under the name uncultured bacterium. RNAcentral describes it as "bacterial SSU rRNA". It matches the Rfam family "Bacterial small subunit ribosomal RNA", at positions 30 to 496 of the family's 1533-position model. The record is from RNAcentral.